RNAcentral lists this ribosomal RNA (254 nucleotides) under uncultured bacterium. RNAcentral's name for it is "partial 16S ribosomal RNA". It matches the Rfam family "Bacterial small subunit ribosomal RNA", at positions 524 to 776 of the family's 1533-position model. The record is from RNAcentral.
UACGUAGGGUGCGAGCGUUAAUCGGAAUUACUGGGCGUAAAGCGUGCGCAGGCGGUUGUGUAAGACAGAUGUGAAAUCCCCGGGCUCAACCCUGGGAACUGCAUUUGUGACUGCACGGCUCGAGUGCGGCAGAGGGGGAUGGAAUUCCGCGUGUAGCAGUGAAAUGCGUAGAUAUGCGGAGGAACACCGAUGGCGAAGGCAAUCCCCUGGGCCUGCACUGACGCUCAUGCACGAAAGCGUGGGGAGCGAACAGG